UCCAGGGUAGCCUAGUGGACAUGGCAUCUGCCCAGUAAGCGGAACAGAGUGGUUUCGAUUCCCAUUCCUGGAC
Molecule: transfer RNA, 73 nt
Filed under: Cordylochernes scorpioides
Lineage: Eukaryota; Metazoa; Arthropoda; Arachnida; Pseudoscorpiones; Chernetidae
Description: tRNA-Thr
Rfam family: tRNA
About the family: Transfer RNA (tRNA) molecules are approximately 80 nucleotides in length.
Source: RNAcentral